AUAACUUUCAGCGACGGAUGUCUUGGCUCGAGUGUCGAUGAAGAGCACAGUGAAUUGUGAUAAGUUCUGUGACUUGCAGAAUUCCGAGAACCAGUAAAUCCUUGAACGCAUAUUGCGCUUUUGGGAAAUUCCUGAAAGCAGGUCUGUCUCAGUGUCACUA
RNAcentral lists this ribosomal RNA (160 nucleotides) under Esoptrodinium sp. PTP. RNAcentral's name for it is "5.8S ribosomal RNA". It matches the Rfam family "5.8S ribosomal RNA". Rfam says of the family: 5.8S ribosomal RNA (5.8S rRNA) is a component of the large subunit of the eukaryotic ribosome. It is transcribed by RNA polymerase I as part of the 45S precursor that also contains 18S and 28S rRNA. Functionally, it is thought that 5.8S rRNA may be involved in ribosome translocation. The record is from RNAcentral. Lineage: Eukaryota; Dinophyceae; Gymnodiniales; Tovelliaceae.